CUAACAUUCUGCUAAUCAUCGUUUGAUGGAUCUGCUACCAUCGUGGUUUGUGAACCAGACCCAGCUGAUCAGCAUGGCAGAGCGGAUUGCUGCACCUCAGCUGUUUUACUCACCAGGGCUGCAGUAGAUGUCAUUAUAAGGAGGAUGUGUGCAAAACUGAAGAUACAGAAUUGAGAAGAAUUCCAGAACUCUGAUGAGUUGGUGGUAAGAA
This is a non-coding RNA of Pantherophis guttatus, 211 nucleotides long. The record is from RefSeq and is a predicted model, not a curated record. NCBI's taxonomy places the organism in Eukaryota, Metazoa, Chordata, Lepidosauria, Squamata, Colubridae.